This 450-nucleotide ribosomal RNA is filed under the name uncultured bacterium. Its description in RNAcentral is "bacterial SSU rRNA". It matches the Rfam family "Bacterial small subunit ribosomal RNA", at positions 354 to 796 of the family's 1533-position model. The record is from RNAcentral.
GUGGGGAAUAUUGGACAAUGGGCGCAAGCCUGAUCCAGCCAUGCCGCGUGUGUGAAGAAGGCCUUCGGGUUGUAAAGCACUUUUGUACGGGAAGAAACGCGAUCGAUUAAUACUCGGUCGAACUGACGGUACCGUAAGAAUAAGCACCGGCUAACUUCGUGCCAGCAGCCGCGGUAAUACGAAGGGUGCAAGCGUUACUCGGAAUUACUGGGCGUAAAGCGUGCGUAGGUGGUUUGUUAAGUCCGAUGUGAAAGCCCUGGGCUCAACCUGGGAACUGCAUUGGAUACUGGCAGGCUAGAGUGCGGUAGAGGGUGGCGGAAUUCCCGGUGUAGCAGUGAAAUGCGUAGAUAUCGGGAGGAACAUCCGUGGCGAAGGCGGCCACCUGGACCAGCACUGACACUGAGGCACGAAAGCGUGGGGAGCAAACAGGAUUAGAUACCCCGGUAGUCC